GGCUGUGUCUUCGCAGCACCCUUGUUCUUGAAGGAGCGCUCAACGGAGCCGCUUCCGGCCAUCUCUCCGUCGUCUACUCCUAAUCCUCCCCAGCGAGAUCGACACCCGAUGCCUCCGCGCAGGGCGUCCACCCGGCAGUCCACGACCUCCGCGGCCAGAUCUCAGGCUCCGGCCUCCCCUCCCGUUUCUCAGCCAGCUCCUCCUCCCCCUCCGGCGACGGCGGUC
This 225-nucleotide long non-coding RNA is filed under the name Elaeis guineensis (African oil palm). RNAcentral's name for it is "long non-coding RNA (EGUI_LNC066352)". The record is from RNAcentral. Lineage: Eukaryota; Viridiplantae; Streptophyta; Magnoliopsida; Arecales; Arecaceae.